Molecule: ribosomal RNA, 1260 nt
Filed under: Triticum aestivum (bread wheat)
Lineage: Eukaryota; Viridiplantae; Streptophyta; Magnoliopsida; Poales; Poaceae
Description: partial small subunit ribosomal RNA
Source: RNAcentral
AUGGCUAAGGAGGGAGAUGCUAACACCAAAUUGUUUCAAGCGGUGGCGAAUGGACGUCGCUCCAAAAACUUCAUUGCUCAUGUCAAGAAGGAUGGUGUGCUGAUCACUAAUCAGGAGCUUAAGGAGAAGGCUUUCUUUGAGGCAUAUGAGAGAUUGAUUGGCUCUGAGCAUGCUAGAGAACACUCGCUAGACUUGCAAUAUCUGGGUAUACAGUCGUGGGAUCUUAGCGAGCUGGAGAUCAUGAUUACGGAAGAAGAGGUUUGGAGCGUCAUCAAGGAGCUGCCCCCGGACCGUGCUCCAGAGCCAGAUGGGUAUAUUGCUGCCUUCUAUCAAAAAGUGUGGCACAUUAUUAAGAACGAUGUCAUGGCUGCCAUACACAAGCUAUAUGUGGGAGAUGGUAGAGGUUUUGCGAAGCUCAACAAGGCGCACAUAGUGCUCAUCCCAAAGAAGCCGGAUGCUGAGGAAAUUGGUGACUAUCGUCCUAUCAGUCUUACCCAUAUCAUCCCUAAGCUGUUUGCUAAGGCUCUUGCCAAUAGAUUGAGGAAGCACAUGAACGACAUUGUGGAGUCUAACCAAUCGGCUUUCAUCAAAGGCCGACAUCUACAUGACAAUUUCCUCCUAGUGAGGCAAGUGGCUAGGAAGCUACAUGCUAGGAGAGCCCCGGCGGUGUUCCUUAAGUUGGAUAUUUCGAGAGCUUUUGACUCCUUGUCAUGGCCUUUCCUAUUUGAGGUCAUGGAAGCCAAAGGAUUUGGCACUCGGUGGAUGAGAUGGGUUGCCAUUCUACUACAAACAGCUAGUACAAAGAUCAUUGUCAAUGGAAUUCCAGGUGAGAGCUUUUCACACGCCUGUGGGCUCCGACAAGGAGACCCAAUCUCCCCGAUGCUAUUCGUCAUUGCCAUGGACGUCUUGACGGCCAUGAUUAAAAAGGCUACUGAAGUGGGAGUGCUCAGUAGGACACCUGGGAUAUCUCCAAUGCAGAGAUUGUCCAUAUAUGCUGAUGACGUGGCCAUGAUCAUCAAGCCAACUAGUAUGGAUCUGAGCUUCAUAAGGAAUGCCCUUGAUGCUUUUGGCACUGCCUCGGGUCUGCGAGUAAAUUACAGGAAGUCAUCGGCAAUUGCGAUCCGAGGAGACCAUGAAGAUAAAGCCAGAGUGGCUACGUUUCUAGAGUGCAACCAGGGAGAUUUCCCUUGCAAGUACCUUGGCUUGCAGCUUGCAAUAAAAAGCCUAACCAGGGCAGAUUGGCAGCCAAUGUUGGAUUAG